GGGUAAAAUGGGGGGGCGCAGCGUGGGGUGUACGUAGGUGGACAGCGGUGGCCGGAUUUACUGGGCGUAAAGUGCGCGGGCGGUCGUACAAGUCGCGGGUGAAAGCCCCCGGCUCAACUGGGGAGGGUCACGCGAUACUGUUCGACUCGAAGGCAGGAGAGGGAAGUGGAAUUCCCGGUGUAGUGGUGAAAUGCGUAGAUAUCGGGAGGAACACCAGUGGCGAAGGCGACUUCCUGGCCUGUUCUUGACGCUGAGGCGCGAAAGCUAGGGUAGCAAACGGGAUUAGAUACCCGUGUAGUC
RNAcentral lists this ribosomal RNA (300 nucleotides) under uncultured Ignicoccus sp. Its description in RNAcentral is "bacterial SSU rRNA". The stretch from base 54 to 300 matches the Rfam family "Bacterial small subunit ribosomal RNA", at positions 547 to 795 of the family's 1533-position model. Lineage: Archaea; Thermoproteati; Thermoproteota; Thermoprotei; Desulfurococcales; Desulfurococcaceae. The record is from RNAcentral.